GAUGAAGAACGUAGUGAAAUGCGAUAAGUAAUGUGAAUUGCAGAAUUCAGUGAAUCAUCGAAUCUUUGAACGCACCUUGCACCCUUUGGCAUUCCGAAGGGUAUGCUCGUUUGAGUGUCAUUGUACUCUCACACUCCCGAUCUUUGGAUUGGGAGCGGUGGACUUGGGUUUGCUGCUUGCCGUGGCUCACCUCAAGUGGAUUAGUGCAACUCUUGGUUGACCAUAGUACGGCGUGAUAAGUGUCUUCGCCGGCACCUCACUGGGUGGGCCGAUCGGGAGCUCUGUGCUUCAAACCGUCUUCGGACAACAACUGACAACUUGACCUCAAAUCGAGUAGGACCACCCGCUGAACUUAAGCAUAUCAAUAAGCGGAGGA
Molecule: unclassified non-coding RNA, 376 nt
Filed under: soil metagenome
Description: partial contains 5.8S ribosomal RNA, internal transcribed spacer 2, and large subunit ribosomal RNA
Rfam family: 5.8S ribosomal RNA (bases 1-120)
Source: RNAcentral